AAUUAUACCCCGAUUUGUUUUCGCGAUCCUAAUUCAAUUCAUUGACUUUAAUUUUUUUAUGCCAAUCCUUACCCCAAACUUUCCGAACUUCUUAUCAUAUGCAAAUGUAGUGCUAGGAUCAGCCAAAACCUAUAACGAGAUACUAGAGGGUAAAGUGACCUUGGGACAAGUGAGCGACUUCGGUACUUCCCUGACUUUAUUCAUGAUACCCGGCUUUGAUUCAGGGUGUGGGAGUUCCCCACGUUGCACUAUAACUCUUCGAUACCACUUCUGAUUUUCCCGCACACCAGCCCUGCCGGCGAAUCUCUUGUCAGGCCAGGAGUUUUGUUGCGGGACACCCUAGUAUACCACGUGCCAGAGAAAAAAAAAAAAAUUGGCGUGGAUGUCCCCUAUAAAGAGGCCUUUACGUCUGCGUGGCGGCCGACUUCCACGUCACACUCCCCACUCCUAGUGCCUUCCUGCGACAGGAGGAGUUGGGAUUAACUUGGGCACACCGUUCGGCAGACCAGCGACAGCAAUGUGAACGUGUGGUCUGCCAUGCGCAAGUUUUUUUUUGUUUUCAGUUGUUCUUAUUGUCCCUCGUUGGAAUGGUCAAUUACUGGAUCCCAUUCUUACAGGCUGGGGGAAGCGGUGUUUAUUUCACGGCGGCUUCCCCGGGCAAACGUUGGAGAACUGGGGCUGCCUUUUUUAUAUGUGGCCCGAUGGCUAACCCCAGCUCUGCGAGGGGGAACCUGCCGAGAGAUUGCAGACCUGAUGCAAGUGAUUGUCAGGAUUUAUGAAAUACAUCCAUACCCAAGAGGAUGGGUUUCAUAAACCUGCAAUCACGGCAUCAGGCAGGCCACCGUAGCAUGUUUCCCGGUACCUGAAAAUAGAGGAAGAAAGGAAUAUUAAUAAAUAAUUGCGGAGAAAUGAUGGAACGAUAUUACCUUAUGGCCUUCUACCAAGAGCCACGAAGUAAACAGAUGGGUUUCGCCCAGCUGACGCGUAGAGUUGCCAUUGCGUAUGUUAUUUGCCAUUGCAUAUGGCGAAUUACUACACUGGGUGAGAUUGUUGUUGGGCGGCUAUACGACGAUAAAGCGGUUUUCAUUCAUAUAAAGUAGCCGCUCCAAACGAAAAGAUUUAAGAGAAUUUAAAUGUUAGCUAUUGGGUUACAAAUGUUCUAAAACCGGAGUUAAUGCAUAAAAUCAAUAUGGCUAUUAACUCAAGAUGGCUAAUUUUUAUGAUUGAGUGAGAACAAAGUAAUAAAAGAGGGUUAAUUAGGCAUUUUGGCGUCAGUUGAAAAGAAAAGUGCAUGACAUUAUAUCUGAGAGAUGUGUAUUUAAAUUUGAAUUGCAAAGUAAUAAUAAGGAAGAGAAAAUUCCAGUGGGUGUUUUGUGUGUCGACAUAAGUCGUUUUGCUGUUUUAAUCGAGACUGUGAGAAAUAAAUAAAGAUACCAAAUAAGAUAAAAUAAAGCCUCCUGGACGAGAGGAGGCGAAAUUUUUGUUGGUGCAAGUGGCUGGGUUAAGGCUAAAGUGAAUUCCCCCCGAUUCAGAAACACACAUUGAACGGUGAUUACCGCAAACGCCACCGUUUCAUCUGGUGGUUAUAAAGGUAGGCCGCUUUUUAGUUUAUUGUGCCCAAAAGAGGGCGAGAGAGGAAAUUCCGUCCGUUGUUGUCCAGACCGAGAGGUUUGGUUGGAUGAAAAAUCGUUGGUCAACGUUAAUCCAGAGGUGCACAAUUGUUGCCAUCAGGCUAUCCAAAUUAGGGGAACUAUCCCAGUUAUCUCUGGAAAGCGGAAUCUUUGCUUGUAUUCGGCCGUACACUUUUGUUUUGGUGAUGGCAAAAGGUACCACCAGUUGAACACCUCCAACGACUUUGAAUUUGAAAUUAUAUGAAGUCACGCACACAUACUAACCUUACUUUGAAAAGGCGAAUUCGACUGAUGACGAAACGUUUUAUUCUCCUCCCGAAAUAGAUGAUACCGAAAGAUUAAAACCUUGGGGUUAUAAUGCAAUAGUAAUCAAACUUUUCAUUACCUUUUUUUUUGUAUGUGGAUAUUGACAUGAUUAUUAUAUUUUGAUUUUUUAACUACCUUCUACUUUAUUUUUACCAUCAUAUUUAUUUCUUACAUUAUUAUUUAUUGACCAUUUUUUUUAUAUUUUUUUCAUAUAUCCUAAGUUUUAGCUUACGUUUUUUUUUUACUUGUUUUUAUGUGAUAGAAUUUGCAAAACGUUCAUGAGUACGCGUUUGUAGGGUGUCUAUUCCCAGCAGUGUGUCCCUUCUAAGAGAGCUCCCUUAGGUAGGCCAGGCUUAACCGUUUUUAUUUAUAUUAAUUUGAUUAUCCUUCUUUGCAAGUUCUAGUGUUCAGUGUUCGUUUCAUGUAACAAGAAAGUUAAAAAUUAGAAGAUUAAGUUAAUUGAUUUAAUGCUAUAAUUUAGUUAAAACUCAGUACUGUCAGUUUAUUGUUGAUGAUUUUGAUAAAAGAAAGACAGGAAUCUUAAUACGAAUUGCGUUAGUUUUAGGCCUUUAUAUUUUAAAUAAAAUUUAUG
Long non-coding RNA from Stomoxys calcitrans (stable fly), 2529 nucleotides. RefSeq lists it as uncharacterized. The record is from RefSeq and is a predicted model, not a curated record. The transcript has 3 exons. Lineage: Eukaryota; Metazoa; Arthropoda; Insecta; Diptera; Muscidae.